GAGCUCAGAUUGAACGCUGGCGGCAGGCUUAACACAUGCAAGUCGAGCGGAAACGAUUCUAGCUUGCUAGAAGGCGUCGAGCGGCGGACGGGUGAGUAAUGCAUGGGAAUCUGCCCGAUAGUGGGGGACAACCUGGGGAAACUCAGGCUAAUACCGCAUACGUCCUACGGGAGAAAGCAGGGGAUCUUCGGACCUUGCGCUAUCGGAUGAGCCCAUGUCGGAUUAGCUAGUUGGUGAGGUAAUGGCUCACCAAGGCGACGAUCCGUAGCUGGUCUGAGAGGAUGAUCAGCCACACUGGGACUGAGACACGGCCCAGACUCCUACGGGAGGCAGCAGUGGGGAAUAUUGGACAAUGGGCGCAAGCCUGAUCCAGCCAUGCCGCGUGUGUGAAGAAGGCCUUCGGGUUGUAAAGCACUUUCAGCGA
Molecule: ribosomal RNA, 424 nt
Filed under: gamma proteobacterium GA-13
Lineage: Bacteria; Pseudomonadati; Pseudomonadota; Gammaproteobacteria
Description: bacterial SSU rRNA
Rfam family: Bacterial small subunit ribosomal RNA
Source: RNAcentral